UCUUCCGCAAUGGACGAAAGUCUGACGGAGCAACGCCGCGUGAGUGAUGAAGGCUUUCGGGUCGUAAAACUCUGUUGUUAGGGAAGAACAAGUGCUAGUUGAAUAAGCUGGCACCUUGACGGUACCUAACCAGAAAGCCACGGCUAACUACGUGCCAGCAGCCGCGGUAAUACGUAGGUGGCAAGCGUUAUCCGGAAUUAUUGGGCGUAAAGCGCGCGCAGGUGGUUUCUUAAGUCUGAUGUGAAAGCCCACGGCUCAACCGUGGAGGGUCAUUGGAAACUGGGAGACUUGAGUGCAGAAGAGGAAAGUGGAAUUCCAUGUGUAGCGGUGAAAUGCGUAGAGAUAUGGAGGAACACCAGUGGCGAAGGCGACUUUCUGGUCUGUAACUGACACUGAGGCGCGAAAGCGUGGGGAGCAAACAGGAUUAGAUACCCUGGUAGUCCACGCCGUAAACGAUGAGUGCUAAGUGUUAGAGGGUUUCCGCCCUUUAGUGCUGAAGUUAACGCAUUAAGCACUCCGCCUGGGGAGUACGGCCGCAAGGCUG
Molecule: ribosomal RNA, 544 nt
Filed under: uncultured bacterium
Lineage: Bacteria
Description: bacterial SSU rRNA
Rfam family: Bacterial small subunit ribosomal RNA
Source: RNAcentral